RNAcentral lists this transfer RNA (68 nucleotides) under Marmota monax (woodchuck). Its description in RNAcentral is "tRNA.Ala". Lineage: Eukaryota; Metazoa; Chordata; Mammalia; Rodentia; Sciuridae. The record is from RNAcentral.
GGUUGUGGCUCACUUGGUAGAGUGCUUGCCUAGCAUGUGUGAGGCACUGGGUUCGAUUCUCAGCACCA